GACGGACCAGCCUUUGCGUUCUUUCGUGGGUUGUUCCUGAGAUGAUCCGAAGGCGCUCAGCCAUUUUCGAACACUGCUCGAUGCCAAUGGCGAAGAUCUGGUGCUAAAGUUGUUCCAGUCACUCCGGCAACUAAACUUGCAAGUAAACACCGGUUGCCUCCUCGCCCCCUCCACCUGAAAGAUCUGCGGACUACACCCUGGCUCCGCA
Molecule: unclassified non-coding RNA, 208 nt
Filed under: Hevea brasiliensis (rubber tree)
Lineage: Eukaryota; Viridiplantae; Streptophyta; Magnoliopsida; Malpighiales; Euphorbiaceae
Source: RNAcentral